This 297-nucleotide long non-coding RNA is filed under the name Arabidopsis lyrata. RNAcentral describes it as "long non-coding RNA (ALYR_LNC001395)". Lineage: Eukaryota; Viridiplantae; Streptophyta; Magnoliopsida; Brassicales; Brassicaceae. The record is from RNAcentral.
UUUCCCUAACGAAAAAGCUUUCAACGAUGUCCAAUAUCCCUUCCUUUUCCAAAUUUUUUUACGAAUACGCUUUUUUGAGAUAGAAGUACGUUUUUUUGGAACUGCCAUUCAAAAAUGAAAAAAAAAAUUUCAGUGGUAUAAUUGGAUGUCAAAGACAUUUAUUAUUCUAUUCUUUCGUACUCCAUAUCGAGUUAUUUUUUCUUUUAAAUCUUAUUAUAUAUAUAUGAUUUUCAAAACAAAAAAUACAUUCAAAAGUUUCAAACCCAACUGUUUUUUUACUUUUUUUUUAACGUUUGA